Molecule: ribosomal RNA, 724 nt
Filed under: uncultured Fusobacterium sp.
Lineage: Bacteria; Fusobacteriati; Fusobacteriota; Fusobacteriia; Fusobacteriales; Fusobacteriaceae
Description: bacterial SSU rRNA
Rfam family: Bacterial small subunit ribosomal RNA
Source: RNAcentral
GAUGAACGCUGACAGAAUGCUUAACACAUGCAAGUCGACUCGAGUCUUCGGACUUGGGUGGCGCACGGGUGAGUAACGCGUAAAGAACUUGCCUCUUAGACCGGGACAACAUCUGGAAACGGAUGCUAAUACCGGAUAUUAUGGUUUUUUCGCAUGGAGGAAUCAUGAAAGCUAGAUGCGCUAAGAGAGAGCUUUGCGUCCCAUUAGCUAGUUGGUGAGGUAACGGCCCACCAAGGCAAUGAUGGGUAGCCGGCCUGAGAGGGUGAACGGCCACAAGGGGACUGAGACACGGCCCUUACUCCUACGGGAGGCAGCAGUGGGGAAUAUUGGACAAUGGACCACAAGUCUGAUCUAGCAAUUCUGUGUGCACGAUGACGUUUUUCGGAAUGUAAAGUGCUUUCAGUCGGGAAGAAGUCAGUGACGGUACCGACAGAAGAAGCGACGGCUAAAUACGUGCCAGCAGCCGCGGUAAUACGUAUGUCGCAAGCGUUAUCCGGAUUUAUUGGGCGUAAAGCGCGUCUAGGCGGCAAGGAAAGUCUGAUGUGAAAAUGCGGAGCUCAACUCCGUAUGGCGUUGGAAACUGCCUUACUAGAGUACUGGAGAGGUAGGCGGAACUACAAGUGUAGAGGUGAAAUUCGUAGAUAUUUGUAGGAAUGCCGAUGGGGAAGCCAGCCUACUGGACAGAUACUGACGCUAAAGCGCGAAAGCGUGGGUAGCAAACAGG